This 497-nucleotide ribosomal RNA is filed under the name uncultured bacterium. RNAcentral's name for it is "partial 16S ribosomal RNA". It matches the Rfam family "Bacterial small subunit ribosomal RNA", at positions 28 to 507 of the family's 1533-position model. The record is from RNAcentral.
GAUGAACGCUGGCGGCGUGCCUAAUACAUGCAAGUCGAGCGAACGGACGAGAAGCUUGCUUCUCUGAUGUUAGCGGCGGACGGGUGAGUAACACGUGGAUAACCUACCUAUAAGACUGGGAUAACUUCGGGAAACCGGAGCUAAUACCGGAUAAUAUUUUGAACCGCAUGGUUCAAAAGUGAAAGACGGUCUUGCUGUCACUUAUAGAUGGAUCCGCGCUGCAUUAGCUAGUUGGUAAGGUAACGGCUUACCAAGGCAACGAUGCAUAGCCGACCUGAGAGGGUGAUCGGCCACACUGGAACUGAGACACGGUCCAAACUCCUACGGGAGGCAGCAGUAGGGAAUCUUCCGCAAUGGGCGAAAGCCUGAUGGAGCAACGCCGCGUGAGUGAUGAAGGUCUUCGGAUCGUAAAACUCUGUUAUUAGGGAAGAACAUAUGUGUAAGUAACUGUGUACAUCUUGACGGUACCUAAUCAGAAAGCCACGGCUAACUACGUG